GCUAUGUUAGUUUAUUAAGAAUGUGUAACUUGUAAUUACAGGGAAUUUAAUUAGCA
This 56-nucleotide transfer RNA is filed under the name Cylicostephanus minutus. RNAcentral's name for it is "tRNA-Thr". The record is from RNAcentral. Lineage: Eukaryota; Metazoa; Nematoda; Chromadorea; Rhabditida; Strongylidae.